CCCAGAGUCUCUGGCCUAUUGGGGACCCGCUGCGUGAGCCCCGGAAGCCUCCGGGCAGCCCGCCGCCCAGCCUGCGGCUCCGUUCUCGGCCUCUUUCUCUACCUCUCCCGUCUCCCUCCGCUUGUGCUCUCUCGCCGCUCUGUCAACUAGAAGAAGAGAAAAUUGGAAGACUCCCGGAACAGUUUCUCCCGGACAGAGGUCGAGUGACACUUGUAUGAACAGAAGUGUGCUCCUGCGGAAAGCCAGCGCCGGCCCCGGCCCGGCGACAGAAAGCACGCUCCGCUCCCCGGCCCGCGGGUUCCUUCAGAGGCCGCCCCAGACUUGGGGUCGAGAUGCAGCCCCCUGCCGCCACCAGGUUCACACUGGGCCUCGCGGUCCUGCUGCUGCUGGUGCCCUGGGUCACGGCGGCGGCGGCCGGAUCGGUCGUGGGCGCGGCGAGCAGCGGGCGAGAGACACAUGCUCUCUCUCUUUCCUACAAUUUCAACAUCACAUCUCGGGCCAGGCCUGGACAACCAUGGUGUGAGAUUCAAGGCCUGGUCAAUGGAAACCAGUUUCUUUCUUACGACUGUCGGAGCAAGGAGGUCAAACCCGUUGGUCCUCUGGGGAUGAAGCUGAAGGACACAGCGUUUUGGGAGAGACAAAAGGAAACCCUGGAAGACCUGGUGGAAGAGCUCAGAAGGAAACUGCUGGACAUCAAAACAGGGAUUUUCACUAAGAGCCAUCCUCUCACCCUGCAGGGCAGGCUGGUGUAUGAGUGUGGACCAGACAGACACCCCAGAGGAUCCUGGCAGUUUGCCUUCAAUGAGCAGAUAACCCACCGCUUUGACCCGGAGACCGGAAAUUGGACAAUGGUGCCUCCUGAGGACCAGCGGUUCCAGGGCACGUUGGACAGUGACGGAGAGCUGACCGGCUUCCUCAUGAGGAUCUCAAACGGAGACUGUAAGGGCUGGCUCCAGCAAGUACUGGAGCACUGGGAUGAAAUGCUGGAGACAACAGGAGCACCAGCCACAACCCCAGGUGUAGUCCGAGUCAAAGGCACAGCCAUCAGGCUGAUCACCUCCAUCCUCCCCGUGCUCCUCACGUGCUCAAUCCUCCCUGGCAUCCAAGGCAGACUCCUUUGAGUAACAGGUACUGUGGGCAGAACUGAAGUGAGAGGCAGAUGGCCUGAGGUGAGCACAGAGAAAGGGGCUGAAGGUGCUACAAGAAGCCCCUGAGGAUGUGCUCUCAUUCACCCACUCUCCCCUUGCACUUGUGGUUCAGUGGUAGAAUUCUCGCCUGCCACCCACUCUCCCCUCUGGUGGGUGGCCUUUCUUCCACCUGCUGUUCAUGUCAACCAACGGGAGCUUCAAUCCCUGUGGCAAAGCAAGAAUCCUCCAGAUCAUCAUGAUUAUGGAGGAGAUGGAACAUUUCAUUGCCUUCAUUCCGGUCAUGAUAAUCCUUCUCUGCACUUUUUCUUAACAUUAAUGCUAUUUUCUGUUGGUGCUCACUGUUGGGAUUCCUGCACUUUGCCUUCUAACUGGUUGAACAAGAAUUCUGCACAAAGAGACUAUUAUGCAACUUCUCCUUUGGUAUUGGAAAUGAGAUACUUGUCAGCGUCAUGAUCCUGUUCAUUGUUAAAAAAAUACUAUAUGACAUUAGAGAACCUUGGGGAUUCUUUCCUUUGA
Molecule: non-coding RNA, 1664 nt
Organism: Leptonychotes weddellii (Weddell seal)
Lineage: Eukaryota; Metazoa; Chordata; Mammalia; Carnivora; Phocidae
Source: RefSeq, a predicted model, not a curated record